GAUCAUGGCUCAGGAUGAACGCUGGCGGCGUGCUUAACACAUGCAAGUCGAACGAAGCACUUUAUUUGAUUUCCUUCGGGACGUGAUUAUUUUGUUGACUGAGUGGCGGACGGGUGGAGUAACGCGUGGGUAACCUGCCUUGUACAGGGGGAGUAACAGUUGGAAACGGCUGCUAAUACCGCAUAAGCGCACGGCAUCGCAUGAUGCAGUGUGAAAAACUCCGGUGGUAUAAGAUGGACCCGCG
This 244-nucleotide ribosomal RNA is filed under the name uncultured bacterium. RNAcentral describes it as "partial 16S ribosomal RNA". It matches the Rfam family "Bacterial small subunit ribosomal RNA", at positions 15 to 235 of the family's 1533-position model. The record is from RNAcentral.